UACGUAGGGACCAAGCGUUGUCCGGAUUUAUUGGGCGUAAAGAGCUCGUAGGCGGUUCUGUAAGUCGAGUGUGAAAAAUCUGGGCUCAACCCAGUCUAGCACUCGAUACUGCAGUGACUGGAGUCCGGUAGGGGAGUGUGGAAUUCCUGGUGUAGCGGUGAAAUGCGCAGAUAUCAGGAGGAACACCAACAGCGAAGGCAGCACUCUGGGCCGGUACUGACGCUGAGGAGCGAAAGCGUGGGGAGCGAAC
Molecule: ribosomal RNA, 250 nt
Filed under: uncultured bacterium
Lineage: Bacteria
Description: partial 16S ribosomal RNA
Rfam family: Bacterial small subunit ribosomal RNA
Source: RNAcentral